Molecule: ribosomal RNA, 491 nt
Filed under: uncultured bacterium
Lineage: Bacteria
Description: partial 16S ribosomal RNA
Rfam family: Bacterial small subunit ribosomal RNA
Source: RNAcentral
GUGAACGCUGGCGGUAGGCCUAACACAUGCCAGUCGAACGGCAGCACAGUAAGAGCUUGCUCUUACGGGUGGCGAGUGGCGGACGGGUGAGGAAUACAUCGGAAUCUACUUUUUCGUGGGGGAUAACGUAGGGAAACUUACGCUAAUACCGCAUACGACCUACGGGUGAAAGCAGGGGAUCUUCGGACCUUGCGCGAUUGAAUGAGCCGAUGUCGGAUUAGCUAGUUGGCGGGGUAAAGGCCCACCAAGGCGACGAUCCGUAGCUGGUCUGAGAGGAUGAUCAGCCACACUGGAACUGAGACACGGUCCAGACUCCUACGGGAGGCAGCAGUGGGGAAUAUUGGACGAUGGGCGCAAGCCUGAUCCAGCCAUACCGCGUGGGUGAAGAAGGCCUUCGGGUUGUAAAGCCCUUUUGUUGGGAAAGAAAAGCAGCAGGUUAAUACCCCGCUGUUCUGACGGUACCCAAAGAAUAAGCACCGGCUAACUUCGUG